Molecule: long non-coding RNA, 490 nt
Organism: Gasterosteus aculeatus aculeatus (three-spined stickleback)
Lineage: Eukaryota; Metazoa; Chordata; Actinopteri; Perciformes; Gasterosteidae
Source: Ensembl
UUCGACUGUCAUGCUAAGCUAGCUAACGCUAUUAGCAUCUUACCUCAGAGAAAACAAAGGAGUUUUUAUUGAUCGUUGAUGGAUUCAGUCUUCCACAUGUUUAAUCCAUAAGUGACAUCAACCCUCUAAAGGCCUCUGGUCCCUAGUUACGGUUGCUAACGUAGGAAUGUACAGUGUGCGUUGGGGGAGGGGCUUAGCCGAGGGUCGGUUGUAUCUGAACUGCUUCUCUGAGGCCUUUGACUCUCAUCGUCUCUCCAUCAGAUGGACCUUCAUCCUGAGUAUGAGGACCUCUCAGACAUGGCAGCACAGAGAGAAGACCCAGAGGAGCAGGAGGACCGGGUGUGAAGAUGCAGUCAAACCAGAGGGAGACUCACCUGGACGGAGACAGGAACAAGUGAACAUAUUUCCCUUCAGUACCACAAGUUAUUAUCUGAGGUCUUUACAAAGUUAAAACUGUACUUUUUAUUUCGUUCUCUUUGUUCUUGAAUCA